Molecule: RNA transcript, 1834 nt
Organism: Coregonus clupeaformis (lake whitefish)
Lineage: Eukaryota; Metazoa; Chordata; Actinopteri; Salmoniformes; Salmonidae
Exons: 2
Source: RefSeq, a predicted model, not a curated record
CUGGAAUCGACUGUUCCUGAUGUUCACCAGCCUGCUGCAGGCCCUCAGUUUCAGACUGCCCCAGGGGCUGCCCCCUCCUCCCAUGCACGGGCGCUUUGGCCUCACCCUGGCCCCCUGCCCAUACACUGUGACUGUGAGGCCCCGGCGGUGAGGCCACCAGACAGACUACGAUCCCUGGUACCGUAAUUAAGCCAUAAGGCACAAGAGGCAGUGGUGUCAUGAAUACAGUCACAGUUUACCACCGGACACUAAAUGCUGCAGUGCAAGUGCGCCAUCCUCCUCUCUGGCUAUUCAUCUGUCACCUGACAGAUUGUCAGUCACUGGCGGAAGAAAAAAAACACAAUGGCAGAGAGAGGUGAGGCACCUCCACCGAGGAAACGGAAGUGGAGGGAUUUGGAGGCCCAACUUCUCAGACUGAAGGGACAAUAUAAUAUGGGGAUAGAGACAUUGAGUCCAACUGGAGAGCAGUCAGCUGCUGUGUCCUGGAAGCCAUGUAGAGUCCUUUCCAGUGUGAACUGUAUUGCAUUAAAGACUGCAUCCAGGUAAUUUCGAGAAUGUGUUCAUUUCGCAUUUUGAAACUGAAAGUGACUGGGAAGCUUUCAAAGUCAGGUGCCACUCAAAUGUAAGUGUGUUAAAGUUCAUCUGGACCAAACGGAUACCAGUUUUGAAGAAAAAAUGCAAUGUUCCCUCAAAAUAUUAACAUCAUGACGAUGUUGGUUAUUACCUUUUUUAUCUUUUCUUUUUUUUAAAAAUCUGUUAACUUUGUUGGGGAUGCCUAUUGUUGUGUUAUGCAUAAUUAAAUUAGUUUUUUGUUUAUUUCAUGAUUUGUUGGUAAUUUUUUUGAUGCUCUCACCCAAAAUUCUUUCAUAUAAUAUUCCUUUCCUGAAACAAAUACUUCAGUCUACUGUUGUUUACAAAAACACAAUAAACGUUUUUCUAUUAGCAUUUAUGAUAAUGACGUUGAUAGGUGAUUUCGACUGGCUCAGAAAAAGUUGUCUCGUCUCGUCUGGGCACGGUUCACCCUAUGUAUGGUACUACAGAGAUCGAAAUUCAAAAAUGAAACAUUGUUGCCGAGGUAGGAUUGUUGCCGAGGUAGGACGGGCAGACAGCGAGGUUUAUAUUAACCCCCGCUGUACCAAAUUAAAUGCUAUGCUGGAAGCAAGGGGAAAUCAUGUGCGAGUUGAGAUAAAUACAAGAGAUGAUUAGGACAGCAACAUGAGCAUGAUAUUAUUAUGGAGGCGCAGUGACCAUUUUCAGAUGAAACUGUUAGCAGGCAUAGGUGUGUCUGUGACGGCCAAUACAGCAAGGCUUGGAACGCUGCUCGUCCAAUCAGCAUCCAGGAUCCAAACAACUAGAUUUAUAAUUCUUGUGGCAGGGCACUCACUACUUGGAUUCCAGUGAUCAUGAGGUUCUGUGACCCAUAGAAAAGACCUGUUUUCAAAGAAGCCAUGAUGUUGAUAUUAUUAUAGGUUUUAUCUUACUCAUUAAGGGCUGCUUACUACCUUCUCACAAGAGCUGUCUCAUUUGGAACCGUGCAGUGUUUAUAGCUAUUUAAUUUCUUUAUUUUGAUGCUGAAAAUGUGCACAGGGAAUGUAAAAGUGUGUUAAUGUAACAUUUUGCAAUUUUAAAUGUUUUAACUGAACAUUUUAACGGAACAUUUUAUUACAGCUUGGAAUAUCUAUUAACUGUUUGAGGUUUUAGUUUAGGCCUUUCUGCGUUACGGAAUAAACGAAAGGAUUAUGGGUGAUUUAUUUGCAUUCAGGUUACCAUAGUUAUUUUGAAGAGAGCUGUCUAUUGCAUUAUGGCAAUAAAAUAAAUGAAAUGAUGAUCUUGA